GAUGAACGCUAGCGGCAGGCUUAACACAUGCAAGUCGAGGGGUAUUUAUCUUCGGAUAGAGAGACCGGCGCACGGGUGCGUAACGCGUAUGCAAUCUACCUUUUACAGAGGGAUAGCCCAGAGAAAUUUGGAUUAAUACCUCAUAGUAUAUAGACUCGGCAUCCAGAUUAUAUUAAAGUCACAACGGUAAAAGAUGAGCAUGCGUCCCAUUAGCUAGUUGGUAAGGUAACGGCGUACCAAGGCUACGAUGGGUAGGGGUCAUGAGAGGGAGAUCCCCCACACUUGAGCCACGGCACAGACCAGACUGCUACGGGGGGCAGCAGUGAGGAAUAUUAGACGAUGGACGCAAGCCUGAUCCAGCCAUGCCGCGUGCAGGAUGACUGUCCUAUGGAAUGUAAGCUGCUUUUAUACAAGAAGAAACACUGCUACGUGGAGCAUCUUGACGGUAGCGAAAGAAUAAGGAUCGGCUAACUCCGUG
Molecule: ribosomal RNA, 478 nt
Filed under: uncultured bacterium
Lineage: Bacteria
Description: partial 16S ribosomal RNA
Rfam family: Bacterial small subunit ribosomal RNA
Source: RNAcentral